CGAUGAGUAAUACUGCAUAAUAUCUAUGGAUUAAAGCUACGGCGGUAUAUGAUGGGUGUGCGUAUCAUUAGCUAGUUGGUAAGGUAACGGCUUACCAAGGCUACGAUGAUUAGGGGGCGUGAGAGCGUGAUCCCCCACACGGGUACUGAGACACGGACCCGACGUCUACGGACGGCAGCAGUAAGGAAUAUUGGACAAUGGGCGAGAGCCUGAUCCAGCCAUCCCGCGUGUAGGAUGACGGCCCUAUGGGUUGUAAACUACUUUUAUAUGAGAAGAAUAGCUUGUAUUUAUAUGAGUGU
This 299-nucleotide ribosomal RNA is filed under the name uncultured bacterium. RNAcentral's name for it is "partial 16S ribosomal RNA". It matches the Rfam family "Bacterial small subunit ribosomal RNA", at positions 157 to 470 of the family's 1533-position model. The record is from RNAcentral.